This 454-nucleotide ribosomal RNA is filed under the name uncultured bacterium. Its description in RNAcentral is "bacterial SSU rRNA". It matches the Rfam family "Bacterial small subunit ribosomal RNA", at positions 340 to 786 of the family's 1533-position model. The record is from RNAcentral.
UACGGAAGGCAGCAGUGGGGAAUAUUGCACAAUGGGCGAAAGCCUGAUGCAGCUAUGCCGCGUGUAUGAAGAAGGCCUUAGGGUUGUAAAGUACUUUCAUCGGGGAGGAAAAACAAACUAAUAAUUUUAUUUCUUGACGUUACCCGAAAAAGAAGCACCGGCUAACUCCGUGCCAGCAGCCGCGGUAAUACGGAGGGUGCUAGCGUUAAUCAGAAUUACUGGGCGUAAAGAGCACGUAGGUGGUUUUUUUAAGUCAGAUGUGAAAUCCCCGGGCUUAACCUAGGAACUGCAUUUUGAAACUGAAAUACUAGAGUAUCGUAGAGGGAGGUAGAAUUCUAGGUGUAGCGGUGAAAUGCGUAGAUAUCUGGAGGAAUACCUGUGGCGAAAGCGACCUCCUAAACGAAUACUGACACUGAGGGUGCGAAAGCGUGGGGAGCAAACAGGGAUAGAUACC